GCAGUCGCAUAUUCAACCGUUUUCAGGUAGCUAUUGGACUAGAGAUGUAACUCGGGCUUGAUUAAAAAAAAGAACAAAAACGUUUAAUUAACUUGCCGAAAUGUUUGCCUGUAAUACUGUCACUUCAAGGACCUCUUCAACGCGUUUACUAAUCGAUAUCCGACUUCUGAAGUGCCGCCGUAACUUUACCGUUAGCAAGUUUGCUAACGUGUGAAACGUAGCCUACCCAGCAAGCAGUAACGUCCUCAAGUUUCCUGCUGGAGUUGGGGCUGUCAAACCAUUCAAGUGGCCCAUGAUGACUGACUGAAAGGACAUUACGUGAAUUCACUACAAGUCAAAAUCAGAUAAACAAACAGGAACAUCAGCCUUCUUGGUGCCAGAUGGAAAUACUUGAGAAUAGCAAGAAAAACGGUUCAAGUAGGCCCGACAACAGAGAUCACAGACAACCACAAGAAGUGACCCCAGGAGGGGGACAGACCAUAUGUUGGCAGUUUUUGGAAG
Molecule: long non-coding RNA, 501 nt
Organism: Engraulis encrasicolus (European anchovy)
Lineage: Eukaryota; Metazoa; Chordata; Actinopteri; Clupeiformes; Engraulidae
Exons: 4
Source: RefSeq, a predicted model, not a curated record